AUUUAUCGGGGUAUGAUGAGCCCGCGUUGGAUUAGCUAGUUGGUGGGGUAAAGGCCUACCAAGGCGACGAUCCAUAGCUGGUCUGAGAGGAUGAUCAGCCACAUUGGGACUGAGACACGGCCCAAACUCCUACGGGAGGCAGCAGUGGGGAAUAUUGGACAAUGGGCGCAAGCCUGAUCCAGCCAUGCCGCGUGAGUGAUGAAGGUCUUAGGAUUGUAAAGCUCUUUCACCGAUGAAGAUAAUGACGGUAGUCGGAGAAGAAGCCCCGGCUAACUUCG
This 278-nucleotide ribosomal RNA is filed under the name alpha proteobacterium 8(2010). Its description in RNAcentral is "partial 16S ribosomal RNA". It matches the Rfam family "Bacterial small subunit ribosomal RNA", at positions 210 to 505 of the family's 1533-position model. The record is from RNAcentral. Lineage: Bacteria; Pseudomonadati; Pseudomonadota; Alphaproteobacteria.